UAACUUAAAUCCAUUUAUUUAAAUUACUCUCAAAUGUCAUAUCACUAAUCUCUGUGGUCUCUGAGAUCAUGAUUUUGCAACAGGUGACUGAAGCACAUUAAGGAUCAUAUUACUUUAUAAUACAUGCACAGACUUGUUAGAAAUAAUUAGUUUUUCAGAAACAUUUAUCAGAAAUUUUAAUAAGCCACAUAACCAGUUCCGGUAUUAGAAAUUAGACAUUUUAAAAAUGAAGAAAACAUGUUACUUUUUUUUUUGUAUGACACCAAGUAAAACAACUGUUGCAUUUCAGCUUCAGUUUUUAACUCAAACUAGUUAUUUUCUCUAAUUUGCCAGACACAGUCAACUCUCCCACCCCACCUCUAAUUUGUUUCCUUGGAGAGAAUAGAACUGAUGAGAUCUCAGACCUAAAGAGAAUUCUCUUAUUAAAAGCAAAUCUUUUUGAGGAUUUUUUUAUUCUUUCCCACAAUAACCUGAUAUAUAGAAACAGUUAAUGCUCUUUUUGAAUAGUGAUAAAAGUUGAGUGUGUAACAUUUAAACCUUAGGCUCCUUUCAAAUAUAUUGAUUUCUCUUAAACUCAGAAAAAUACUAUGCUAAUAUAACUAUAGCACUGCACUGCUUGUUACUGGCAUUUUUGAAAUUUGGUUUUAAGAUUAUAAAUGCCAUUGG
This 666-nucleotide long non-coding RNA is filed under the name Bos taurus (domestic cattle). RNAcentral describes it as "long non-coding RNA NONBTAT009380". The record is from RNAcentral. Lineage: Eukaryota; Metazoa; Chordata; Mammalia; Artiodactyla; Bovidae.